RNAcentral lists this small RNA (82 nucleotides) under Klebsiella pneumoniae. RNAcentral describes it as "partial RtT sRNA". It matches the Rfam family "RtT RNA", at positions 1 to 81 of the family's 130-position model. Rfam says of the family: This family represents a bacterial cis-regulatory element known as RtT RNA. The exact function of RtT is unknown although it is thought that it may be involved in changing the cellular response in relation to amino acid starvation. Lineage: Bacteria; Pseudomonadati; Pseudomonadota; Gammaproteobacteria; Enterobacterales; Enterobacteriaceae. RNAcentral also lists the same sequence under 1 other name. The record is from RNAcentral.
UAUUCUGCCCCAUGGGGAAGGAUGAGAAGCUUCGACUAAGGUUCGACUCGAGCGAAGCGAGAGAACGUUGCCGCAGGCAACG